RNAcentral lists this ribosomal RNA (420 nucleotides) under Triticum aestivum (bread wheat). RNAcentral's name for it is "partial small subunit ribosomal RNA". The record is from RNAcentral. Lineage: Eukaryota; Viridiplantae; Streptophyta; Magnoliopsida; Poales; Poaceae.
AUGCCGGAGUCAGAGACGCGCGCCGCCCGCCGCGAGAGGCAGCGGGCAAGGGAGAGGGACGCAGCGGAGUGCUCUGUCCGCCGCUGCCGUGGGUUACCGACGGAGCCCGACGAGGACGAGAGGCUCCUCGCGUGGGGUCUACCGCCGGUCGCUUACGACGGCGGAGACGGACGCUUGGUGGCUCCGCUGGAAGAACGUGAAGGCUCACCGGCUUGCCAUCGAGCAGUCGGAGGGCGAGGCCAAGGAAAAGGCGACGGAGGCGGCUCAGCUAGCGAAGCUCAGGCGACCGCAGGACCGGGCCGUCCAACGCCUCAAGGGCCCCGUCAUCGUCUCCUCCUGCUCCUCGCCCGACGACCACGGCUCCUCGUCCGACGAUCCUCCACCAGCCGCCCGACGGCUAUAGCUGCACCGACGACAUGA